UUAAAUUAUUCAUAAAUGUUAUUUAAAGCUAGUCUUCCAAAGAUAACUAAAAUAAAGAUUUGAAAGUAGUCUUUAAUUAAAAGUUAAGAACGAACUUGUUACAGGUGUACAUAUCGCCCGUCACCCUCGUCUAAAGAUGAGGUAAGUCGUAACAUAGUUAGUGUACUGGAAAGUGCACUAAGGGGAAUUAAAAGCUUUAGCGUUUCAUUUACACAGAAAAGAGUGGUCAUUCAAUUUCCAUAAACUUUAUUUGUUUAAGCCACUAUUUAUUUCCUUUAAUUUUCGUGUUCUCUUGGUAUAACCGUAAGGGACCUUUAAAUUGAUUUUAAGAAACUUUUCAUGUACCUUUUGUAUCAGG
Molecule: ribosomal RNA, 358 nt
Filed under: Myrmekiaphila tigris
Lineage: Eukaryota; Metazoa; Arthropoda; Arachnida; Araneae; Euctenizidae
Description: partial 12S ribosomal RNA
Rfam family: Microsporidia small subunit ribosomal RNA (bases 1-189)
Source: RNAcentral